This 462-nucleotide ribosomal RNA is filed under the name uncultured Tremellales. RNAcentral describes it as "eukaryotic LSU rRNA". The stretch from base 115 to 268 matches the Rfam family "5.8S ribosomal RNA". The record is from RNAcentral. Lineage: Eukaryota; Fungi; Basidiomycota; Tremellomycetes; Tremellales.
UCAUUGGGUUAGAUCUGCUCUCUUCGCAAGAAGAGGGUUUCCAUACACACCGUGAACUGUGGCUUCGGCCAUCACAAACUGUUAGUAAUGAAUGUAAUAUCAUAACAAAAACAAAACUUUUAACAACGGAUCUCUUGGCUCUCGCAUCGAUGAAGAACGCAGCGAAAUGCGAUAAGUAAUGUGAAUUGCAGAAUUCAGUGAAUCAUCGAAUCUUUGAACGCACCUUGCGCCCUUUGGUAUUCCGAAGGGCAUGCCUGUUUGAGUGUCAUGAAACCUCACCCCACUUGGGUUUUUGCCUGAGCGGUGGUGUAUUGGGUGUUGCCUUGCUAAAGGCUCGCCUUAAAGAUAUAAGCACCUUGGAUGUAAUACGUUUCAUCCCUCUGGGUGGCUGAUAACCCCACAUAUUCAUGAUCUGGCCUCAAAUCAGGUAGGGCUACCCGCUGAACUUAAGCAUAUCAAUAA